CUAAAUAAAAGCAAGAGGUUUCAUAUAUAACUUUUUAGAUGGGUUAAGCUUUUAUGCAAAAGGGUGUCUAGCUAUCCCACCAUACAGCCUUCAUGAUCCUUGAGAGUCUUUUAUUUCUAGUUUAUGACGGGUAAGUCUAGGUGAGUACAAUCUCGUACUCAGGGUUCUUCAUGAUCCUUCAAAGUUUUUUAUUUCUAGUUUAUGACGGGUAAGUCUAGCUGAGUACAUUCUCGUACUCAGGGUUCUAUUCCCAUGUUGUUUUGUAGAUGUGCAGAUGUAUUACAGUUAUUGCAUCAGUUGCUUGUACCCAGCAAUGGGUAAUGACUAGACCAAGAGCAAUGGUCACACUACUUGAUUCUUUGGUACUCCGUCGUGGUGAAUCGCCCACAACCACUCACAAGCUUGACACGAGCCACGCCCAUAAGAACAUCGAGCGGUCUUCGUGCCUCCAUUCACCACCGAACCGUCUAGGUGAUGGCAAUCACCAAGAGUAACAAGCAAAGAACUCUCACUUAACCCAAACAAGGCACUAGAGAGUGGUGGAUGCACACUUGAACUCUUGG
Molecule: long non-coding RNA, 563 nt
Filed under: Sorghum bicolor (sorghum)
Lineage: Eukaryota; Viridiplantae; Streptophyta; Magnoliopsida; Poales; Poaceae
Description: long non-coding RNA (SBIC_LNC005004)
Source: RNAcentral